CACGGGGGGAACGCGAAGAACCUUACCUGCCCUUGACAUCCGGAUGACCGGUGGGUAAUGCCACCCUCUCUUCGGAGCAUCCGAGACAGGUGGUGCAUGGUUGUCGUCAGCUCGUGUCGUGAGAUGUUGGGUUAAGUCCCGCAACGAGCGCAACCCCUAUCUUCAGUAGCCAGCGAUUUGGCCGGGCACUCUGGAGAGACUGCCAGGGAUAACCUGGAGGAAGGUGGGGAUGACGUCAAAUCAUCAUGCCCCUUAUGGGCAGGGCUACACACGUGCUACAAUGGCGUAAACAAAGGGAGGCAGAGCCGCGAGGCCGAGCAAAUCCCAAAAAUAACGACUCAGUUCGGAUUGUAGUCUGCAACUCGACUACAUGAAGCUGGAAUCGCUAGUAAUCGCGAAUCAGAAUGUCGCGGUGAAUACGUUCCCGGGUCUUGUACACACCG
Molecule: ribosomal RNA, 443 nt
Filed under: uncultured bacterium
Lineage: Bacteria
Description: bacterial SSU rRNA
Rfam family: Bacterial small subunit ribosomal RNA
Source: RNAcentral